ACUCUCGGCAACGGAUAUCUCGGCUCACGCAUCGAUGAAGAACGUAGCAAAAUGCGAUACUUGGUGUGAAUUGCAGAAUCCCGUGAACCAUCGAGUUUUUGAACGCAAGUUGGCGCCCAAAGCCUUUUGGCUGAGGGCACGUCUGCCUGGGCGUCACACAUCGUGUCGC
RNAcentral lists this ribosomal RNA (169 nucleotides) under Munnozia fosbergii. Its description in RNAcentral is "5.8S ribosomal RNA". It matches the Rfam family "5.8S ribosomal RNA". From Rfam's summary of the family: 5.8S ribosomal RNA (5.8S rRNA) is a component of the large subunit of the eukaryotic ribosome. Lineage: Eukaryota; Viridiplantae; Streptophyta; Magnoliopsida; Asterales; Asteraceae. The record is from RNAcentral.